This 146-nucleotide ribosomal RNA is filed under the name uncultured freshwater bacterium. Its description in RNAcentral is "partial 16S ribosomal RNA". It matches the Rfam family "Bacterial small subunit ribosomal RNA", at positions 361 to 524 of the family's 1533-position model. The record is from RNAcentral.
AUAUUGGACAAUGGGCGCAAGCCUGAUCCAGCCAUGCCGCGUGAGUGAUGAAGGCCUUAGGGUUGUAAAGCUCUUUUAUCCGGGACGAUAAUGACGGUACCGGAGGAAUAAGCCCCGGCUAACUUCGUGCCAGCAGCCGCGGUAAU